This 492-nucleotide ribosomal RNA is filed under the name uncultured bacterium. RNAcentral describes it as "partial 16S ribosomal RNA". It matches the Rfam family "Bacterial small subunit ribosomal RNA", at positions 29 to 507 of the family's 1533-position model. The record is from RNAcentral.
AGUGAACGCUGGCGGUAGGCCUAACACAUGCAAGUCGAACGGCAGCACAGUAAGAGCUUGCUCUUACGGGUGGCGAGUGGCGGACGGGUGAGGAAUACAUCGGAAUCUACUUUUUCGUGGGGGAUAACGUAGGGAAACUUACGCUAAUACCGCAUACGACCUACGGGUGAAAGCAGGGGAUCUUCGGACCUUGCGCGAUUGAAUGAGCCGAUGUCGGAUUAGCUAGUUGGCGGGGUAAAGGCCCACCAAGGCGACGAUCCGUAGCUGGUCUGAGAGGAUGAUCGGCCACACUGGAACUGAGACACGGUCCAGACUCCUACGGGAGGCAGCAGUGGGGAAUAUUGGACAAUGGGCGGAAGCCUGGUCCAGCCAUACCGCGUGGGUGAAGAAGGCCUUCGGGUUGUAAAGCCCUUUUGUUGGGAAAGAAAAGCAGCAGGUUAAUACCCCGCUGUUCUGACGGUACCCAAAGAAUAAGCACCGGCUAACUUCGUG